Molecule: ribosomal RNA, 301 nt
Filed under: uncultured bacterium
Lineage: Bacteria
Description: partial 16S ribosomal RNA
Rfam family: Bacterial small subunit ribosomal RNA
Source: RNAcentral
CAGUCGCCGCGGUAAAACGGAGGGUGCAAGCGUUAAUCGGAAUUACUGGGCGUAAAGCGUGCGUAGGCGGUGAGUUAAGUCUGCUGUGAAAUCCCCGGGCUCAACCUGGGAAUGGCAGUGGAUACUGGCUCGCUAGAGUGUGUCAGAGGAUGGUGGAAUUCCCGGUGUAGCGGUGAAAUGCGUAGAGAUCGGGAGGAACAUCAGUGGCGAAGGCGGCCAUCUGGGACAACACUGACGCUGAGGCACGAAAGCGUGGGGAGCAAACAGGAUUAGAUACCCCAGUAGUCCCUGUCUCUUAUAC